Molecule: ribosomal RNA, 483 nt
Filed under: uncultured bacterium
Lineage: Bacteria
Description: bacterial LSU rRNA
Rfam family: Bacterial large subunit ribosomal RNA
Source: RNAcentral
CCUUGAAAUACCACCUGAACCGUGUUAGGUGUCUAACGCUGUCCCGUGAAUCCGGGCGGCGGACAAUGUCAGUUGGGCAGUUUGACUGGGGCGGUCUCCUCCAAAGUGUAACGGAGGAGCUCAAAGGUACCCUCAGCCUGGUUGGCAAUCAGGCGAAGAGCGUAAAGGUAGAAGGGUGCUUGACUGCGAGACAAAUAAGUCGAGCAGAAACGAAAGUUGGACUUAGUGAUCCGGCGGUUCCGAAUGGAAAGGGCCGUCGCUCAACAGAUAAAAGGUACUCUGGGGAUAACAGGCUGAUCCCGCCCGAGCGUCCAUAGCGGCGGCGGGGUUUGGCACCUCGAUGUCGGCUCAUCACAUCCUGGGGGUGAAGAAGCUCCCAAGGGUUCGGCUGUUCGCCGAUUAAAGUGGUACGUGAGCUGGGUUUAAACCGUCGUGAGACAGGUUGGUCCCCUAUCUGCUGUGGGCGUACGAAACUUGAGGGGU